Molecule: long non-coding RNA, 335 nt
Filed under: Vombatus ursinus (common wombat)
Lineage: Eukaryota; Metazoa; Chordata; Mammalia; Diprotodontia; Vombatidae
Description: lncRNA (ENSVURG00010013392.1)
Source: RNAcentral
AAUCAGAUGCUCUUGGAUAUCAAGUAGACUUCAGGAGACUGCUUCACACUAGAUAACUGUACCUCUAUGACUCGGGAAGAGGAGAAGGAGCACAGUGGCAGCUGGACAGUCAAUACUGGAGUGCCAGUUGAUAAACAUUUACCAGCAUACCCAUUCCAGUCUUAAAUCACAAUAGAUGGAUAUCAAGAGGCUCUGAGCAAUUUGGAGGCAAGAGUAAGAAAAAGUUCAAGUUUCAAGAUUGAGCUUCAAAGCAUCUUGCUGCAUAACACCUUCAUGUUCUCUGCCCAGCUGUACACUUUCCCCACUCCACUUCCAAAGUAUUAUUUGACUUACCU